CCUACGGGCGGCAGCAGUGAGGAAUAUUGGUCAAUGGGCGCGAGCCUGAACCAGCCAAGUAGCGUGAAGGAUGACUGCCCUACGGGUUGUAAACUUCUUUUAUCAAGGAAUAAAGUGAGGCACGUGUGCCUUUUUGUAUGUACUUUAUGAAUAAGGAUCGGCUAACUCCGUGCCAGCAGCCGCGGUAAUACGGAGGAUCCGAUCGUUAUCCGGAUUUAUUGGGUUUAAAGGGAGCGUAGAUGGGUUGUUACGUCAGUUGUGAAAGUUUGCGGCUCAACCGUAAAAUUGCAAUUGAUACUGGCAGCCUUGAGAACAGUUGAGGUAGGCGGAAUUCGUGGUGUAGCGGUGAAAUGCUGAGAUAUCACGAAGAACUCCGAUUGCGAAGGCAGCUUACUAAACUGCCACUGACAUUGAUGCUCGAAAGUGUGGGUAUCAAACAGGAUUAGAUACCCCGGUAGUC
This 460-nucleotide ribosomal RNA is filed under the name uncultured bacterium. RNAcentral describes it as "partial 16S ribosomal RNA". It matches the Rfam family "Bacterial small subunit ribosomal RNA", at positions 338 to 795 of the family's 1533-position model. The record is from RNAcentral.